GACAGAGGGUGCAAACGUUGUUCGGAAUCACUGGGCGUAAAGGGUGCGUAGGCGGGUCUUUUAAGUCAGGGGUGAAAUCCUGGAGCUCAACUCCAGAACUGCCUUUGAUACUGAGGAUCUUGAGUAUGGGAGAGGUGAGUGGAACUGCGAGUGUAGAGGUGAAAUUCGUAGAUAUUCGCAAGAACACCAGUGGCGAAGGCGGCUCACUGGCCCAUUACUGACGCUGAGGCACGAAAGCGUGGGGAGCAAACAGG
RNAcentral lists this ribosomal RNA (254 nucleotides) under uncultured bacterium. RNAcentral's name for it is "partial 16S ribosomal RNA". It matches the Rfam family "Bacterial small subunit ribosomal RNA", at positions 524 to 776 of the family's 1533-position model. The record is from RNAcentral.